This 874-nucleotide ribosomal RNA is filed under the name uncultured fungus. Its description in RNAcentral is "SSU rRNA". It matches the Rfam family "Eukaryotic small subunit ribosomal RNA", at positions 512 to 1427 of the family's 1831-position model. Lineage: Eukaryota; Fungi. The record is from RNAcentral.
CAUAGGCGAUUGAUUGAGCGGCCGCGAUUCGCCCUUGUGCCAGCCGCCGCGGUAAUUCCAGCUCCAUAGCGUAUAUUAAAGUUGUUGCAGUUAAAAAGCUCGUAGUUGAACCUUGGGCCUGGCUAGCCGGUCCGCCUCACCGCGUGUACUGGUCCGGCUGGGCCUUUCCUUCUGGGGAUCCGCAUGCCCUUCACUGGGUGUGUCGGGGAACCAGGACUUUUACUGUGAAAAAAUUAGAGUGUUCAAAGCAGGCCUUCGCUCGAAUACAUUAGCAUGGAAUAAUAGAAUAGGACGUUGCGGUUCUAUUUUGUUGGUUUCUAGGACCGCCGUAAUGAUUAAUAGGGAUAGUCGGGGGCAUCAGUAUUCAAUUGUCAGAGGUGAAAUUCUUGGAUUUAUUGAAGACUAACUACUGCGAAAGCAUUUGCCAAGGAUGUUUUCAUUAAUCAGGAACGAAAGUUAGGGGAUCGAAGACGAUCAGAUACCGUCGUAGUCUUAACCAUAAACUAUGCCGACUAGGGAUCGGGCGAUGUUAUCAUUGUGACUCGCUCGGCACCUUACGAGAAAUCAUAAGUUUUUGGGUUCUGGGGGGAGUAUGGUCGCAAGGCUGAAACUUAAAGAAAUUGACGGAAGGGCACCACCAGCGUGGAGCCUGCGGCUUAAUUUGACUCAACACGGGGAAACUCACCAGUCCAGACACAAUAAAGAUUGACAGAUUGAGAGCUCUUUCUUGAUUUUGUGGGGUGGGUGGUGGCAUGGCCGUUCUUAGUUUGGUGGAGUGAUUUGUCUGCUUAAUUGCGAUACGAACGAGACCUUACCUACUAAAUAGCCCGGCCCGCUUUUGGCGGGUCGCUGGCUUCUUAAAGGGACUAUCGGG